AAUGAACGCUGGCGGCGCGCCUAAUACAUGCAAGUCGAGCGAGAAGACGUAGCAAUACGUUUGUAAAGCGGCGAACGGGUGAGGAAUACAUGGGUAACCUACCCUCGAGUGGGGAAUAACUAGCCGAAAGGUUAGCUAAUACCGCGUACGCUUCUUGGACUUCGGUUCAGGGAGGAAAGCGAUGCCGAGGGUAUCGCGCUCUUGGAUGGGCUCAUGUCCUAUCAGCUGUUGGUGAGGUAACGGCUCACCAAGGCUUCGACGGGUAGCUGGUCUGAGAGGACGAUCAGCCACACUGGCACUGCGACACGGGCCAGACUCCUACGGGAGGCAGCAGUGGGGAAUAUUGGACAAUGGGCGCAAGCCUGAUCCAGCGAUGCCGCGUGUGUGAAGAAGGCCUGCGGGUUGUAAAGCACUUUCAGUAGGGAAGAAAGACGAGUGCUAAUAUC
RNAcentral lists this ribosomal RNA (446 nucleotides) under uncultured bacterium. RNAcentral describes it as "bacterial SSU rRNA". It matches the Rfam family "Bacterial small subunit ribosomal RNA", at positions 29 to 466 of the family's 1533-position model. The record is from RNAcentral.